ACAAUUACAGAAACGACUUAUAAUUUAAAAAAAAAUAUAGUUACAAUUCCAUUAAUGCAGAUGUUUUAUAUAAUACCAUGGGAGGAACUCAUUUACCAUGUUUGUGCAAUAAAUUUUGAGCUUGCGAACAAAGGCACAAUCUGUCGUAACGGUUUUGAUCGACUCAGGUAUUUUAUUAUAAAUUUUAGCACCCAUUACGCCAAGAGCCUUACCGGUUUUCUGAAGCCUAUGCGCGGGGAUAGCCAGCCCUGGUUUUGUCCUUGCAAAAUGACUCUUUGCAGUCGGGAACAUAGCAAUGCGUAUGUACUAAUCAGUGCUUGCUGGAAGAGCUACGUAUAAAACGCCAGUUGUCAACGAUAUGCUAAGACGUUAUAUACUUCGGACACCUCUCACGUCGCUACCCUGAUAGGCUGGAGAGCCAUAAUGACGGGCAAACUUGAAGGCACGAGACCUCAGAACCAUCCUCCUACUAGAUGGUCUGCUCAAAUUAAAUAUUUGAGACCAUGCACUUAGCGAGGAACAGCCUAUGAAAUAACCUGGUCUUCAAUAUGAGGGCAUACUGUCACGAUCCUCAGCAUCGAAAAAACGACUGAAGCAGAAAAGGAUGAGAGAACUGACCAGCGGCUUAGCGGCGGAGGUCAACCUUAUACUUGUCUUACCAAACGGCUAGAUAUAUAUUCCGUCCAAUAUGAUCUUUCCCAGCAGUGGUUUUUCGCUGUCUUAUCUACAUUUUUAGUACAUCUGCAGCAAUGCAGAUAGAUGCGAGAUUCGAAUUUCGACUGCUGUGUUCGUAAGACUCAGAGAUGGGAGAAAAAUACGAGUAUUUCGAAUAAGAAUAAAAGUAAUUAAUCAUAAGUGGUACAGCGAUAUGUCAACUUGCUUGAAUCUGUAACAGCGCAACUGUGGAUACUUCCCACUAGGUACUCCUCCACCUUACAGAAGAUCACAGCCAGUAGUAGUGAUAACUACUAUUUAUUUUUCAUCACACUUGCUCCUGAAUAGUGUUAUUGUACGUUUGAACGUUUCUAAUUUAAUAUUAUUGUUUAUGUUUAUAAAUAUUUAAUUUGAUUAUUUUCAUGUUAGGGAUAGGUAUUUUUGUGUCAAUUCAGUUUUGUUUUUUUUUUUAAUGGCGGGGUUCACGACGUCUACAGCUCACAGAGCAACAUCGCUUAAUGUAGAAGAAUAAUUUUAUUCACGAAUAAUCUAGUAACGAAUUUAUUCGAAUAAUAUCCGCCUCUGUACCGGCUGGCCCGCUAUAUUUGCAAGCCGCUUACGUAGAAAGUGACCCCGUGUAGAAAUACCCUUUUAAGGCGAGCUAUUUUAGACCCGAAUUUCUAUCGAGCAAACUUUAUAAGUAUACGCCAUCCUUAAGUUAGGGAAUAAAUGGAACAGUCUGUUUUGAUACGAAUAUUUUUCGAUUACAAAUUGAAAUAAAUUUCAUAUACUAAAGAAAAAGGGACCAAGCCAUCCGACUUAUUUAUAUUUUGUGCGACUACUUAAAACACACAAAUAAAAAAUAUAGGUUUUAAAAUAUAUAAUAAUUGUAUAAUAAUAGUAAUAGUUAUUUGUUACUGUUAAGAGGACAAAGUUGUUGUUUAACCGCUCGUGCUAAUAUUGAUACCCGAGCAAGCGAGUAGCGAGUGGUUCGAGAAGUAGAAUCUUGAGCGAUGUGAGGGUUUCGAGGCACGAGAGUUAAACAAACUUUGUCUCCGAGUGAAACAUAAAGUUUUUCACCACACCAACAUAGUGGAUCGAAAUGACUAAACAAUGAGGACCGACCGAGAUCUCGGUCUCGGUCUCGGCAUUCUCGGACAAAAAUCGAGCCGAGAACUCAGUCCGGCUGUCGGCCAAUAUGGGCCGACAUAUUUUUGUCAUUUUGAUAAAAAUAAAAACAAUUUUGUACAAGAAAAUAGCUAAGAAUUACGACGUAAAAAGAAGUGUUAUAAGUUUAACAUAGGUGUGUGUGUGUGUGUCUGUUCAUGGCUCCUAAACUAACUUUAAUUAAAAUUAAAUAAUCAACUUAACUGCCUAAAACAAUUGCAAUGUGUAUUGGAAAUAAAUCACACGUAAAUUGACGUUUAAGCCAAUUAAAAUACACAUCAUUAAUCUAUCCAGAUCGAACUCCAUUAUAAUGGUGUUGAUACACAUCACACCUGAGUCAACAGAGGGGGUGGCUAUCAGUGGCGGAUCGUUCAAAGAACUCGAUUCCCACCGGCUUGUCUAAUUUCAGCCCGUUGAGUACUGUCACAAUCGGUUCAUGGAAAAAAGGAAAGCAAAAUUAGCUCCGGGUUCCCUACGAAUAUUUGUGACGCGCCGCCACUGGUGGCUAUACAGCUAUGUAUGUGCAUCGUUCAUCGUAAAUGCAUCGGUAUUGCGAAUGUGUGGGAUUUGCAUUGGUUGAAUACUAACUAAUUUAUUUUAUUUUUAUUAUAGAACAUUCUAACACAAAUUGAAGAAGUCCCACAGUAAGCUCAAUAAGGCUUGUGUUGAGGGUACUUAGACAACGAUAUAUACAAUUUGUUUGUCUACGUAUAGUCGAGCCGUUAACCACGUAUAAUAUGAUGAAUUUUAUCGACAAAUCACUAUGUUUUUUCUCAACCAUAUUAAAACUGCACCCCUUCAAAGUUUUAUACUCCCAAACACGACUGCACUUGGUUAAUGUACCAUUAUCUGUCCAUUUACCUUCGUACAGAAAAAAAAUAAACAUCAUUCGAUAGCUUAUGAAUUAGGGCAUUAAUUUUAAGCAUAAAUGUUACAGAAAAUUUUCAAGAACAAAGAUAAAAUUGUCUUCAAAAAUGUACUUUUUUUACAUUUUAUCUUUUUUUUUAAAACGAGGUCGUGGACAUAUACUUUUUAAUUGUUAAAUGGUAGUACAAGAUAUCAGCUAAAAGUUGACGUCAAAAUGAUAGCCCUAGUUAAAAUACUUCACAAGUUACACUAAUCCAAAUAAGACCUUCUGUAAUGUGCGUCGAACUAAGUUGCUUUAGUUCCAAAUGAUAAUUCGGGCGGCGGGCGAUGUUUCUUUGGAACUGCCAAAUCAUCAUAGAUAUUUUAAAUAUUUAAAGAUAGUUUAAAAGAAGAAGAAGAACCCCCCACGCGAAAAUAGGGGUGUUACUUAUACGUUUGACGCCAAUUUAUUUACUUAUUUUAUUUAAUAAGACACGGUAUAUCUUAAAUAAAAUCGUAGCCCCACAAAAAUAUGUAUCGAAAGAAUCGUCUCAUAAGUAUGGUACUACGCUCUUAUUACACUGGAAUAAGAGUUUGAAUUAAGAGGACAUAUUUUUGAGUAAGAUGUGUACACCCAUAUUUUUACACUUGACUUUACCAUGGUAUUCUAUUUCCUACGGAAGGUGGAGGUAAGGAAAUAAAUCUCCAUGUACCAAAAAGUGUCAUCAAAAAACCUUAAAUAGGUGGCGCUACAAUACCUAGAGUACUUGACCAAAAAAUCAAAUCAUAGACAGCGCACUUCACUCCGUCAAUAACGCCUAGGUUCUUAGCUACUCUAGCGCUACUCUGGAAGUAUUUGGAACUAUUAUUUAUAUCUGACAGCUGGACACUUUUGCAACAGUUCUACCAUAAGAGAUGCCUCUCCUCUUAAUUCCACACUCCAUACUAUUUCCUUUGCUUGUGUCAUAAUCCCAAAAAAAUGGAUCAGUUCUGAUGAAUUCAUUUCACAUGAAUAGAAACUUAUUUUGAACAUCACAAUAACCCCUAUAUACUUACUUUACUCUUUGCAAUAACCUUUAUCCCGAAACACGUCGGCCGCGGCACAAAGACGGGUCAAGUGCCGGUACCAAUUAUAUGGGUGACGACACGUCCCUUUGAAGCGUCGUCUACAUUCACACAACACAGCUGUGUUGACAUAUAUACAUUACAUGGUACUUAUAAUACUUACAUCAAAUUGUCAUUUUUGGGGUUUGUUUAUAUUAACUAUUAGUUCGCCCCGAACUGAGAACUCGCGGUUCGCCAAGAACACAGCCAAAAAGAUAGAUCGAUUGAAUGCUAGGUGCUUAGUCGGCAAAGGAUUGAAAACCGGGUGCGAUUUAUUGCAAGAUAUGUGGAGCCCUUAAUUGAUAGAUUUAAGUCACCAUAGAUAUCAAAAUCAACUGUAUGGUAGGCCGUUAUCUUUCUUGUCAAAUGUCAAAUAUCUACAUUAUGUUAAUUUUAUUUCAUUUUAUCUUGCAAAUUAAUUUAAAAUCGUAAAUUAAAAAACCAAUAGGUACCUAUUAUAAAUGUGUAAACCGAUCACUUACAUUUGAUAUCAAACUCGACCAUACUUUCUUGGAAAUCAAGUUCGAUAAGAACUUCGCUUCGCUCGCUCGUUCGAAUAUACAGAUAAUAAAGUAAAUAAAGCAUCUUCUAUUGUAUUAUCAUAAUAUUGAAGACGGGUCAAUUCGGAAAUUCGGGAAGACGGGGAUUGUUUCCCAUAAAAUGUUAAGUCAUAAUGUAUUGCUUGUCCGCAUUUUCGUUACUCAUAAUUUGUUUUUUUCUCAGAAACGCGUAACUUUUCAGGAUUGCUAUAAAACUAACCUAACCUAUCUAUAGGAUAGCCUUACGAAAAUUCUGAGAAGUUAACGGUCUCAAAAUUAACCUAACCUAUCUAUAGGAUAACCUUACGAAAAUUCUGAGAAGUUAACGGUUUCAGAAGACUAAUGAUAAUCUGACAAUCAUUACAUUAUGACUUUCAAUAAUUAUGUCAAGCAAAGUCAUCUGCACUCCCUUUUAGGGGUAGGAGGGUGAAAGCUACAGUAUUCUUAAUUUUUCUGUUCUUUGUAUGUAAAUCCUAGACUAUGCCAAAUUUCAGCUUUCUAGGACCUCGGGAAGUAUCCUCGAUUUUGUGUCAGCGAGUGAGCGGCGAAAUCGUCGUUCUUUAGGUACAGUCAGCAUCAAAAGUAGCGGAUCAAACAAGGUUUCAAAAGUAUCUACCAUUCUGAAACAACUCAACAAAAUGUGGUGGUUCUAUAUGUACAACAUUUAAGUCGGUAAAAGAUAUACUUUUGAAUGUAAAUUUUAGAGAUUUAUCUAUAUUUAGAGAAGUUAUCCGGAAUAUCAGAUACUUUUGGCGCGUUGUUUAAUCCGCUACUAUUGAUGCUGACUGUACCUAUUCAUAAAAUCUAAAGUAUGAGCUAGAUUGACGUAACACCAGAAAACUAAAAUUAAUUUCAUCAACUAGAAUUUGAAAUAGAGGUGAAUCGUCAAAGAAAACUUUGUAGCCACAGUAAAUUUACUGCCAUCUUCCGACAAAUGAUUAAAACUUUUAGAACGCCAUUUGACUUUGAUCCUUAUUCUUUCACUGAUAUGUGUUAAAGGAGAAUGGGCAAUUUGUCCCAUGGAUGUAUACUGUUGAGACAUAUCUCGUUUGAAAGGGUUUACUCUUAGCAUUAUUUUAUUGUAUGACACCAACUUUGGAUAACGUGCAGGGACUGAGCAAUUUAAAAAAAAGAGUGGCGAAUAUAAACUGUUGUUUUACAAAGUACUUGUUAUGUAGCCGGUUGUUAGGUGUUUUGUAUGAAAGAAUAUGAGAAAUUCUAGAUUUCUGUUUACCACUACUUACGUUUAAGUACGUACAGGGCUGGAAUUAGUUGAUAUAACAUAUGCUUGAAUUAAAAAUACUGCUAUUAAACACUGAAACUUGCUUGUAUACUCAAGCCAUAUAUCUCAUUUAAAAGACAUUUUUAUAAGGUAUUUUAAUAUAUAUAUACUUGCACUCAAAUGCUUGCAGGGGCGGUAAUAAAACGAGUUUUUUCGUUAAUUAAUUGUGGUAAAUGCCGCUUUGUUUGUUCUACCUGGCACUAGAUGGAGCCUUGGUAGCAGUUUGGGUAAUUUUUACUAUUGGUAUAUACAAUUGAGUCAUAUCCUAUUUGGAAGGUCUUCAAUUAAGCAUUAAUUACUUAUAUGACACCAAAGACCGAAAGUGUCCAGGGAAGAUGAUAUUAAUAAUUUUGAUCAUGCGCUGCGGCGUAAACUGGAACUAAAAAAUGUCAUUCAUAUAGAGUUACUUUUGUAACCAUUUACAUCACUUUGCAUGCCUGAAAUAUAAUGAAAAAGUAAUUUAUAUAUAUUUUUAAAUUAUUACCGCUCAAUAAAUGGCACUAAACUACUUAAUUAUGAUUUUUCAAAUCCUCUCUAGUACUGACAUCUUGCGUGCAAUAGGAGAACCGAAUGAGCGGCAAAUGCUGGAUCCGUAUAGUCGCUUAUUAACGCUAAAAAUGUCACCGAAGAAUAAGUUUGUUUAAUUCGGAACUUUGACAAUAAAACGAGUGGUUACCUUGAACUAGUAAGUUUCGUCUAUUUAUCUCUCUUGCUCUUACAUUUUCGAGUGAUAAAGGUAGAAAAAGCAUUACAUUUUUUAAAGUUCGCGUUAUGUCCCGCUAAAAACGUUAUAUAAACUUAUUAUUAAACAUGAAAUAAGAUUCCUAAGCAAUAAGUAGGUAAGUAAAUGUAUUUAUGGAGUAGUUGGAGUACCAUAAUUAGCAGCAAGAAAAUAAAUCUAAGUUUAUAUGUUACGAUAAAAUAAAUCGUAAAAAGGUACUAUGUACAUACUUGUUUUGUUUCUCUGCAGGAAAAUUGUGUAAAAGUGAAACAUUUGAGAUUGCGUCGCGGUUCAAAGCAACGUUCCUUUCGUUUGCCAUAUGAAGCAGGAUUAAAUUGUGUAGUUUUAAGUUCUCAUGUCGCACAAAUAUUAGCAGGAUGAGUCGACAAGUUAAUUUAAAGCAAGCAUUGGUGAAUAGGUGCAUCCAGAUCCAGAUAAGAGAAUGCAUGGUUAUUGCGCCAAUCUCGGACCAUUUGCGAUUGGUUUGCUAAGGGCACCGCUAGCUGGUGGGGAUGCACAGAGCACUUAUACAUACCUUAUUAAAUAAAAACUUUUGAAUACA
This is a long non-coding RNA of Cydia pomonella (codling moth), 6875 nucleotides long. RefSeq lists it as uncharacterized. The transcript has 2 exons. The record is from RefSeq and is a predicted model, not a curated record. Lineage: Eukaryota; Metazoa; Arthropoda; Insecta; Lepidoptera; Tortricidae.